GGCUGAGAUAGUUGAUGUUGCUCUGG
RNAcentral lists this non-coding RNA (26 nucleotides) under Homo sapiens (human). The record is from RNAcentral. Lineage: Eukaryota; Metazoa; Chordata; Mammalia; Primates; Hominidae.